GGAGGAAUACCCAAGUCUGGCUGAAGGGAUCGGUCUUGAAAACCGACAAGGGUGUCAAAGCCCGCGGGGGUUCGAAUCCCUCUUCCUCCGCCA
This 93-nucleotide transfer RNA is filed under the name Priestia megaterium. RNAcentral's name for it is "tRNA-Ser". It matches the Rfam family "tRNA". Rfam says of the family: Transfer RNA (tRNA) molecules are approximately 80 nucleotides in length. Their secondary structure includes four short double-helical elements and three loops (D, anti-codon, and T loops). Further hydrogen bonds mediate the characteristic L-shaped molecular structure. tRNAs have two regions of fundamental functional importance: the anti-codon, which is responsible for specific mRNA codon recognition, and the 3' end, to which the tRNAs corresponding amino acid is attached (by aminoacyl-tRNA synthetases). tRNAs cope with the degeneracy of the genetic code in two manners: having more than one tRNA (with a specific anti-codon) for a particular amino acid; and 'wobble' base-pairing, i.e. permitting non-standard base-pairing at the 3rd anti-codon position. The record is from RNAcentral. Lineage: Bacteria; Bacillati; Bacillota; Bacilli; Caryophanales; Bacillaceae. RNAcentral also lists the same sequence under 2 other names.